UAGGGAAUCUUCGGCAAUGGACGAAAGUCUGACCGAGCAACGCCGCGUGAGUGAAGAAGGUUUUCGGAUCGUAAAACUCUGUUGUUAGAGAAGAACAAGGACGUUAGUAACUGAACGUCCCCUGACGGUAUCUAACCAGAAAGCCACGGCUAACUACGUGCCAGCAGCCGCGGUAAUACGUAGGUGGCAAGCGUUGUCCGGAUUUAUUGGGCGUAAAGCGAGCGCAGGCGGUUUCUUAAGUCUGAUGUGAAAGCCCCCGGCUCAACCGGGGAGGGUGAUUGGAAACUGUGAGACUUGAGUGCAGAAGAGGAGAGUGGAAUUCCAUGUGUAGCGGUGAAAUGCGUAGAUAUAUGGAGGAACACCAGUGGCGAAGGCGGCUCGCUGGUCUGUAACUGACGCUGAGGCUCGAAAGCGGGGGGAGCAAACAGG
Molecule: ribosomal RNA, 429 nt
Filed under: Gemmatimonadota bacterium
Lineage: Bacteria; Pseudomonadati; Gemmatimonadota
Description: Gemmatimonadetes bacterium partial 16S ribosomal RNA
Rfam family: Bacterial small subunit ribosomal RNA
Source: RNAcentral